This 1730-nucleotide ribosomal RNA is filed under the name Renardia cf. nigrella DDM0058. Its description in RNAcentral is "SSU rRNA". It matches the Rfam family "Eukaryotic small subunit ribosomal RNA". The record is from RNAcentral. Lineage: Eukaryota; Metazoa; Arthropoda; Insecta; Coleoptera; Staphylinidae.
UUUACUUGGAUAACUGUGGUAAUUCUAGAGCUAAUACAUGCAAAGAGAGCUCCAACCGGAGACGGAAGGAACGCUUUUAUUAUACCAAAACCUAUCGGUGGUUGGGCUGGCUCAACAUCGUAAACCUGAUGAAUCUAAAUAACUCGCAGAUCGCACGGUCUCGCACCGGCGACGCAUCUUUCAGGUGCCUGACUUAUCAACUUUCGAUGGUAUAGUAUUUGUGUACCAUGGUUAUAACGGGUACGGGGAAUCAGGGUUCGAUUCCGGAGAGGGAGCCUGAGACACAGCUACCACAUCUAAGGAAGGCAGCAGGCGCGUAACUUACCCACUCCCGGCACGGGGAGGUAGUGACGAAAAAUAACGAUACGGGACUCAUCCGAGGCCCCGUAAUCGGAAUGAGAACACUGUAAAUAUUUUAUCGAGGAUCAAUUGGAGGGCAAGUCUGGUGCCAGCAGCCGCGGUAAUUCCAGCUCCAAUAGCGUAUAUUAAAAUUGUUGCGGUUAAAAAGCUCGUAGUCUGAAUUGUGUCCCGGGCCGCCGAUGCAUCGUUCGCGGUGUGUUGGCGUGUUGCGGGGCAUCUUGCCGGCGGAUUCGUCUUAACGGGCGUUUCCAUAACCCUAUCGCGGUGCUCUUCAUUGAGUGUCGAGAUGGGCCGGUGCGUUUACUUUGAACAAAUUAGAGUGCUUAAAGCAGGCCAAAAUUUUGCUUGAAUAACUGGUGCAUGGUAUAAUACAACAGGUCCUCGAUCCUAAUUUAUUAGGUUUGCGGGGUCGAGGAAAUGAUCAACAGAAACGGAUGAGGGCAUUCGUAUUGCGACGUUAGAGGUGAAAUUCUUGGAUCGUCGCAAGACGGACGAAGGCGAAGGCAAGUACGUGUUCGUUGAUCAAGAACGAAAGUUAGAGGUUCGAAGGCGAUCAGAUACCGCCCUAGUUCUAACCAUAAACUAUGCCAGCUAGCAAUCCGUCGAAGUUCCUCCGAAGACUCGGCGGGCGGCUUACGGGAAACCAAAGCCUUUGGGUUCCGGGGGAAGUAUGGUUGCAAUGCUGAAACUUAAAGGAAUUGACGGAAGGGCACCACCAGGAGUGGAGCCUGCGGCUUAAUUUGACUCAACACGGGACAACUUACCAGGCCCGGACACCGGAAGGAUGGACAGAUUGAGAGCUCUUUCUUGAUUCGGUGGGUGGUGGUGCAUGGCCGUUCUUAGUUGGUGGUGUGGAUUGUCUGGUUAAUUCCGAUAACGAACGAGACUCUAGCUUGCUAAGUAGACGUACUCGACAUCUCAAAGGUCCGGCUGCUUGGCUUUCGGGUCUUGCAGUGCGGGAUUUUUACUGUCGGCGUACUAAUAUACUCUUCUUAGAGGGACUGGUGGCUUCGAGUCGCACGAAAAAGAGCAAUAACAGGUCUGUGAUGCCCUUAGAUGUCCUGGGCCGCACGCGCGCUACACUGAAGGAAUCAGCGUGUCUUCCUUGGCCGAGAGGCUCGGGUAACCCGUUGAAACUCCUUCGUGCCAGGGAUUGGGGCUUGUAAUUGUUCCCCAUGAACGAGGAAUUCCCAGUAAGCGCGUGUCAUAAGCACGCGCUGAUUACGUCCCUGCCCUUUGUACACACCGCCCGUCGCUACUACCGAUUGGAUGGUAUAGUGAGGUCUUCGGACUGGUACGGGGUGACGUUUCGGCGUGACCCAUGUAGCCGGGAAGUUGCCCGAACUAUGUCAUUUAGAGGAAGUAAAAGU